This 343-nucleotide unclassified non-coding RNA is filed under the name soil metagenome. Its description in RNAcentral is "partial contains 5.8S ribosomal RNA, internal transcribed spacer 2, and large subunit ribosomal RNA". The stretch from base 1 to 121 matches the Rfam family "5.8S ribosomal RNA", at positions 35 to 154 of the family's 154-position model. The record is from RNAcentral.
GAUGAAGAACGCAGCGAAAUGCGAUAAGUAAUGCGAAUUGCAGAAUUUCCGUGAGUCAUCGAAUCUUUGAACGCACAUUGCGCCCACUGGUAUUCCGGUGGGCAUGCCUGUUCGAGCGUCAUUAUCCUCCCUCAAACCCCGGGUUUGGUGUUGGACCCAAGUUGUGUGAACAACUGGUCUCAAAGACAAUGACGGCGUCCGUGGGACCCUCGGUGCAACGAGCUUUUAGGAGCACGCAUCGAGUUGCAAGGACCUUCCGGGCCGGUCUCCUUUACCAUUUUACAAGGUUGACCUCGGAUCAGGUAGGAAUACCCGCUGAACUUAAGCAUAUCAAUAAGCGGAA